This 253-nucleotide ribosomal RNA is filed under the name uncultured bacterium. RNAcentral describes it as "partial 16S ribosomal RNA". It matches the Rfam family "Bacterial small subunit ribosomal RNA", at positions 524 to 776 of the family's 1533-position model. The record is from RNAcentral.
UACGUAGGUGGCAAGCGUUGUCCGGAUUUACUGGGCGUAAAGAGCGCGUAGGCGGUCUUGUAAGUCUCGUGUGAAAUCCCUCGGCUUAACUGAGGAACUGCACGGGAUACUGCAUGACUUGAGAUCGGGAGAGGGAAGCGGAAUUCCGGGUGUAGCGGUGAAAUGCGUAGAGACGUGGAGGAACACCGAUGGCGAAGGCAGCCUUCUGGGCCAAUACUGACGCUCAUGCACGAAAGCGUGGGGAGCAAACAGG